UACCUGGUGACGCCCCUAUACUGCGAUGUCCUCUGCCCAAACGUGUCAAUGGACUUCCGGUGAACAGGCUGCUUUUGGCCCCCUUUCCCGGUGCCCCUCUUCUUCCCGACACGCUGCUCGCCACCGUCAUUACUGUUGCUUCCCUGGCCAUCACCAGCAGCAGCAGCUGCAGCGACCACCGCCAUCUGCUGAUGCUGCUGGGGAGCUGCACUGACGCAGCUGCUGGACUGGGACCCUGGGCUCAUGGAGAGGCUGAGCGGCUGCGGCAUCUCCUGGUUGCCGUAGCAGGCG
This 291-nucleotide small RNA is filed under the name Oryza sativa Japonica Group (Japanese rice). RNAcentral's name for it is "sRNA Os03g0232250". Lineage: Eukaryota; Viridiplantae; Streptophyta; Magnoliopsida; Poales; Poaceae. The record is from RNAcentral.